CGCCAGUCUAUAAGUCUCCUCCACCACCGGUGUACAAGUACAAAUCUCCUCCCCCGCCGGUUUACAAGUACAAGUCACCACCACCGCCGCCAGUCUAUAAGUCUCCUCCACCACCGGUGUACAAGUACAAAUCUCCUCCCCCGCCGGUUUACAAGUACAAGUCACCACCGCCACCGGUGUACAAGUCGCCUCCUCCACCAACAAAGCCAUACAAGUACAAGUCUCCACCACCACCAGUCUAUAAGUCACCACCGCCACCGGUUUACAAGUAAAAACCCCCCCCGCCACCGGUGUACAAGUAUAAGUCACCGCCGCCUCCAGUCUACAAGUCUCCUCCGCCACCAGUUUACAAGUACAAAUCACCGCCGCCGCCAGUCUAUAAGUCACCACCGCCUCCAAUGAAGCCAUACAAGUACAAGUCACCACCACCGCCGCCGGUUUACAAGUCUCCUCCUCCGCCGGUGUACAAGUACAAAUCACCGCCGCCGCCAGUCUAUAAGUCACCACCGCCUCCAAUGAAGCCAUACAAGUACAAGUCACCACCACCGCCGCCAGUCUAUAAGUCUCCUCCACCACCGGUGUACAAGUACAAAUCACCACCGCCACCGGUUUACAAGUACAAGUCACCGCCGCCGCCGGUGCACAAACCACCUCCACAUUACAUCUCUGCGUCACCCCCUCCACCAUACCACGUCUAGAUGAGUCAACCCCCCAAGGUAAUACUACUAAUCAACAACUCAUAUCCAAUCACUGAAUAAGGGGCCGUUUGACAUAGAGAAAAUAUAUUUGUAUUUGUGGGAAAAUUAUUUAUUUUGAAAUUAACAUAUUUGCAUUAGUGACAAAUAUCACAAAUAUUUUUAGUUAUCAUUGGUUUAUCUUAUUCUGAAAAACAAUAACGUAAUUCUAAUUUCCUCAAAUAAAAAAUUUAGUUCUAUUAUUUAUGAAAUAUACAUAUCAAACAUUAUAGCCUAGCAAGUUUUUAUUAAUUAAUAAUACUGACCCCUCUCUCAACAACUCGAGCUAUUGGAGAUACGAUGAUCGAUUUUGGACAUGGUAUCAUAGAUUUAAAAAACCAAGAGGUCUCCUUUUCAAAUCCCGACAGUCUCCAUUCCGUACAUAUGACUUAUCGUGUGAACCUCAUUUCUUCUUAAAACUUCUGUCUGAAGGGCAUAUUAAUGAAUACUAUAUACAAAAUUGAUCUGAACCUUCCCCCAACAACUUACAAUGCAACGAUUCAUGACAAUUUUCUCGAUUUAGUACUCGAUACUCGGUACGAAACGGUGCCUUAAUUACUAACUUGUGUCUUGGUCCU
RNAcentral lists this long non-coding RNA (1312 nucleotides) under Linum usitatissimum (flax). Its description in RNAcentral is "long non-coding RNA (LUSI_LNC002448)". Lineage: Eukaryota; Viridiplantae; Streptophyta; Magnoliopsida; Malpighiales; Linaceae. The record is from RNAcentral.